UUAGUAGCGGCGAGCGAACAGGGAAGAGCCCAGCGCCGAAUUCCGCGUCUCAAAGGGCGUUUGGAACAUGUGGCGUUUAGGAGGAAUCUCUCCGAGGGCAGACGGUGUCGCAAGUCCCCCUGAACGGGGCUGUGAUCCAGAGCGGGUGCGAGGCCCAUAGCUGGUACCGUCUCCUUUGGGUGUCCCCUCCUUGGAGUCGGGUUGCUUGGGAGUGCAGCCCUAAUUGGGUGGUAAACUCCACCUAAGGCUAAAUACGUCCGUGAGACCGAUAGCAAACAAGUACCGUGAGGGAAAGUUGCAAAGAACUUUGAAGAGAGAGUUCAAGAGUACGUGAAACCGCUCAGAGGCAAACGGGUGGGCCCACGAAAGCCGAAGGCGGGGGGAUUCAGUCGAGAGGACGGUGGGGCAGGACUGGCUGGUUGGACGGACCGUGCCAGGCCGGGUCAGUUCCCGAGAUCUGCCGCCUUUCGACGCAUUUCCCCCUGCUUAGUAGGACGCCGCAACCGGUUGGCGCUGCAGCCAUAAGGGAGAGUAAAUGGAAGGUAGCCAGUGAGUUCUUCUUCGGAGGCGCGAGCUGGUCCUAAGCCGACUCUCCUGGUGCUUGUGGCCCGACCGUGGUCGUGAGUCCCUCAACGGGAUGUCGCCGAGCCCUCUGACUGGAGCGGGAGAAGUGGCAGGCUGCUUUCCGCGGAAAAAAUCGAUCGCUUCACGCGUGCAGUGGGCGAUCUCCGGAGGUAGCUGCUGGUGCGUUUUUCUCCUGCGCUGGGCACAGGCAGUUGGCGGCGAGUAGGUCGGUCACCCACCCGACCCGUCUUGAAACACGGACCAAGGAGUCUAACAUGUGCGCGAGUCAUUGGGUCUUGAACAAGCCCAAAGGCGCAAUGAAAGUGAAGACCAGCACUGAAGCUGGUGGAGUUGGGAAACUGUGUCACUGAAGAUGCAGUUGCACCAACGGCCCGUCCCGUCCGCAUCGUCGGUGGGGCGGAGCGAGAGCGUACACGUUGGGACCCGAAAGAUGGUGAACUAUGCCUGGGCAGGACGAAGCCAGAGGAAACUCUGGUGGAGGUCCG
RNAcentral lists this ribosomal RNA (1070 nucleotides) under Draculoides sp. SCH031. RNAcentral describes it as "partial large subunit ribosomal RNA". It matches the Rfam family "Eukaryotic large subunit ribosomal RNA", at positions 80 to 877 of the family's 3401-position model. Lineage: Eukaryota; Metazoa; Arthropoda; Arachnida; Schizomida; Hubbardiidae. The record is from RNAcentral. RNAcentral also lists the same sequence under 1 other name.